ACAUACGACCAUAUCCAUUGGAAUAUUCGGGAUCCCGUCCGCUCUCCCCUAGACAAGCCAAUGAGAGCCGGAUUAGUAGUUGGGUCGGUGACGACCAGCGAAUACCUGGUGUUGUAUGUU
Molecule: ribosomal RNA, 120 nt
Filed under: Colletotrichum salicis
Lineage: Eukaryota; Fungi; Ascomycota; Sordariomycetes; Glomerellales; Glomerellaceae
Source: RNAcentral